Non-coding RNA from Cinara cedri, 239 nucleotides. The record is from the annotation of a GenBank genome assembly. Lineage: Eukaryota; Metazoa; Arthropoda; Insecta; Hemiptera; Aphididae.
CGUACGGCUCUGAUAUGUUUAACAAAUCUAUAUGAACUAUACCGCACUUCCCGAGACGAACACUGAAGUGCGUUACUGCGGGACCCGCGGCGCUCGUGGCCGGUCGCGUUGCCCUAGCGCCCACGCCACUCCGAACAACAUAGUUUAUAGGCUGGAUAAUCGGCGGACGAUAAAAAAUAAGCCGUUUGUAAUUGAAUAGCUGCGUGUAAAUAUUGCCGAUUAACCCACGCGUUAUCAGC